Molecule: ribosomal RNA, 745 nt
Filed under: Staphylococcus sp.
Lineage: Bacteria; Bacillati; Bacillota; Bacilli; Caryophanales; Staphylococcaceae
Description: bacterial SSU rRNA
Source: RNAcentral
UGCAGUCGAGCGAACAGACGAGGAGCUUGCUCCUYUGAYGUUAGCGGCGGACGGGUGAGUAACACGUGGAUAACCUACCUAUAAGACUGGGAUAACUUCGGGAAACCGGAGCUAAUACCGGAUAACAUGUUGAACCGCAUGGUUCAACAGUGAAAGACGGUCUUGCUGUCACUUAUAGAUGGAUCCGCGCCGCAUUAGCUAGUUGGUAAGGUAACGGCUUACCAAGGCAACGAUGCGUAGCCGACCUGAGAGGGUGAUCGGCCACACUGGAACUGAGACACGGUCCAGACUCCUACGGGAGGCAGCAGUAGGGAAUCUUCCGCAAUGGGCGAAAGCCUGACGGAGCAACGCCGCGUGAGUGAAGAAGGUCUUCGGAUCGUAAAACUCUGUUAUUAGGGAAGAACAAAUGUGUAAGUAACUAUGCACGUCUUGACGGUACCUAAUCAGAAAGCCACGGCUAACUACGUGCCAGCAGCCGCGGUAAUACGUAGGUGGCAAGCGUUAUCCGGAAUUAUUGGGCGUAAAGCGCGCGUAGGCGGUUUUUUAAGUCUGAUGUGAAAGCCCACGGCUCAACCGUGGAGGGUCAUUGGAAACUGGAAAACUUGAGUGCAGAAGAGGAAAGUGGAAUUCCAUGUGUAGCGGUGAAAUGCGCAGAGAUAUGGAGGAACACCAGUGGCGAAGGCGACUUUCUGGUCUGUAACUGACGCUGAUGUGCGAAAGCGUGGGGAUCAAACAGGAUUAGAUA